UACGUAGGGUGCAAGCGUUGUCCGGAAUUAUUGGGCGUAAAGAGCUCGUAGGCGGUUUGUCACGUCUGCUGUGAAAUCCCGAGGCUCAACCUCGGGCCUGCAGUGGGUACGGGCAGACUGGAGUGCGGUAGGGGAGAAUGGAAUUCCUGGUGUAGCGGUGGAAUGCGCAGAUAUCAGGAGGAACACCGGUGGCGAAGGCGGGUCUCUGGGCAACAACUGACGCUGAGGAGCGAAAGCGUGGGGAGCGAACAGG
Molecule: ribosomal RNA, 253 nt
Filed under: uncultured bacterium
Lineage: Bacteria
Description: partial 16S ribosomal RNA
Rfam family: Bacterial small subunit ribosomal RNA
Source: RNAcentral